This 659-nucleotide ribosomal RNA is filed under the name Listeria monocytogenes. Its description in RNAcentral is "partial 23S ribosomal RNA". The stretch from base 225 to 659 matches the Rfam family "Eukaryotic large subunit ribosomal RNA", at positions 1 to 452 of the family's 3401-position model. The record is from RNAcentral. Lineage: Bacteria; Bacillati; Bacillota; Bacilli; Caryophanales; Listeriaceae.
UAUCUCAAUUAUAACUAUCAACAACGGAUCUCUUGGCUCUCACAUCGAUGAAGAACGCAGCGAACCGCGAUAUUUUUUGUGACUUGCAGAUGUGAAUCAUCAAUCUUUGAACGCACAUUGCGCGGUAUGGCAUUCCGUACCGCACGGAUGGAGGAGCGUGUUCCCUCUGGGAUCGCAUUGCUUUCUUGAAAUGGAUUUUUUUAAACUCUCAAUUAUUACGUCAUUUCACCUCCUUCAUCCGAGAUUACCCGCUGAACUUAAGCAUAUCAAUAAGCGGAGGAAAAGAAACCAACAGGGAUUGCCUCAGUAACGGCGAGUGAAGCGGCAAAAGCUCAAAUUUGAAACCCUCGGGAUUGUAAUUUGAAGAUUUGGCAUUGGAGAAAGCUAACCCAAGUUGCUUGGAAUAGUACGUCAUAGAGGGUGACAACCCCGUCUGGCUAACCGUUCUCCAUGUAUUGCCUUAUCAAAGAGUCGAGUUGUUUGGGAAUGCAGCUCAAAGUGGGUGGUAAACUCCAUCUAAAGCUAAAUACUGGUGAGAGACCGAUAGCGAACAAGUACUGUGAAGGAAAGGUGAAAAGAACUUUGAAAAGAGAGUGAAAUAGUAUGUGAAAUUGUUGAUAGGGAAGGAAAUGAGUGGAGAGUGGCCGAGGUUUCAGCCG